This is a long non-coding RNA of Harpegnathos saltator (Jerdon's jumping ant), 1326 nucleotides long. RefSeq lists it as uncharacterized. The transcript has 3 exons. The record is from RefSeq and is a predicted model, not a curated record. NCBI's taxonomy places the organism in Eukaryota, Metazoa, Arthropoda, Insecta, Hymenoptera, Formicidae.
AGGAGCAUGUAAUAUAUACAUACGUGUUAUAUACGUAGUGUGAUGUUUUGAUUUCUUAUAUUCCUUUGUUGAAGGCAUUCUUAAUCUUCGUAAAUUGACUACAAUUUUAGUCAGUGUGUCACAGCUCCGCUAUGUGGUAAAAUCGUUCUCGCUUUUGCUUUCGAAACAAAAUAAUUUAUACAGUUAAUAUGCAUUUGCACGAGUUUCUAAAUAUAACACACGAUUUCAAUGCUCUGUGGAAUUAUUUGUGUGAAAAGGAAGUAGUCCAAACAACUAUUACAAAGUUAUAAAAGGACGAAAACGACGAAGAGUAAAGUGUAAUUUCAAACUCAGUGCUCUUCACUUUGGAACUUGGUUUGCACGAAUACAUGUGGAUUUAUCAAAAAUUCGUCGUUUUAUUGCAUAUUUUUUGCUGUAACAGUCGCCGAAAUAUAAAUUCCUAAAAAAUGAAUUGGAAUUGAACGACAGCGCUGCAGUCGAUUGGACGAAUUUUUGUCGAGAAUUGCUUCAACAAUGGGUUUUAUCUAAGCAAGAAUCCAAUUGGUUGGAACAAACAAGAUGGUAGAAAUAGACGAAGCAAAAAUAGGCAAACGAAAAUAUAAUACUGGACGCAUAAUACGAGGACAAAGUGGGUUUUUCGAGGUAUUGAACAUAAUACGAAGAAAGUUUUCAUUCUACCUGUACCGGAUAGAAGUGCUGAGACCUUAUUGUCAAUUAUACGAAAAUACGUCGCUCCUGGCUCUAUUGUUUAUUCGGAUAAAUGACGUGCCUACGAUGCCCUAUCCAACGACAAAAACUACACACAUGAAACCGUAAAUCAUUCAGUUAAUUUUGCGAAUCCAGAAACAGGUGUUCACACACAAGAUAUAGAAAGAUUAUGGAGAGAUAUGAGAGCAAAUAUUCCUCGCUAGGGCACGCGCGAUUAUCACUUCGCACAUUAUUCGGCAGAAUUUUUAUUUAAAAGAGUACACAAUUUUGAUAUACGCGUUGAUACUUUCUUUAAAAUAAUGAGUUUAAUGUAUCCCUUAAAUGAUCCAAGUGAUGAAUAAAUUUUUUUGCGCAUACAUCCACUAUGUGUCUUACUGCAUCUUUAUAUAUUAUUGGGCGUUGUUGAAAAGAUUAAAACCGUUAAAACCGUUAGUACGUACGUUAAGUGCAGAAACUCGUGAGGUAACAUCUUAAGCACGUCAAAGAGAAGCCUCUUCUCUCAUAUGUGUAAAGUUUAUCCAAGUACACCUAAAUGUACACUGCGUCGGAAAAGUCUACGUUCUACUAAUGAAACCUCUUUUGUUAACAACUUUUUAAUAAACGAUGACCGCCGACUAA